This 836-nucleotide long non-coding RNA is filed under the name Fukomys damarensis (Damara mole-rat). RNAcentral describes it as "lncRNA (ENSFDAG00000023990.1)". The record is from RNAcentral. Lineage: Eukaryota; Metazoa; Chordata; Mammalia; Rodentia; Bathyergidae.
AGGUAAUUGGCCCUAUUUGCAUAGUUAAUUGACAUAUGAAGAAGCAGUACUUUAGAGGUCAAUAAACUGCAAGAGCACACAAGCUCAGAAUUAGAGCAAAAUUUUAAAGCAUUUUUAUAUUCAUGGGUUAUGCAUGGUACUUCAGCUGUAUGCUCGGUGCCCUUGAUUUACAGAAAACCUAUAUUGGCUCAGCUGGGACUAUCAGGAUGCACAGCCAAUGGGACCCCUAAGAUUGUGACUUCAUGACCACACCCCUGUCUUGUCCCUCCCUCUAAGUAAAAGAGCAGAUGAGACCAAGUCUAAGGAUCAGGAGCUUACUGAGCAUCUCAAAAGAACCCUCUCCACACAUGAACAUUUACACUGAUGUACAGCAUACGUGGCAGAUUUGAGUACCCAAAGGGAAGUCAAAGGCACAAAGCACAGGCCCUGGCACCCUUCCCUGAGCAACUGUACAGCUCAGGGGUCAAUACAGAUACCAUAUAAAGACCUGGGUUGAGUCCAUACUCCACCACUCAUCUUCAAGUCUCAUUCUCCCCAUUAUAUAUGAAUGAUGAGUCCAAGGCCUCAGAGUGCUAUAGAGAAGAUACCACACAGUUAUAUCUGAAAGGUAGGUUAGAAUUUAAAUCAUGUCUGUCUGAGUUGAGAUUCUGACCACUAAUGCCACAUGGGCACCACUGGGAAAAAAGCCAUCCUAGUAACAGAGGGACAAUGACACCGGUCCUAUCCCACCAGAAAUGACAAACAAUACCUGUAUAAAAAGCCUUGUAUGAGCAGCCACAUGCUUUUGUGCUACCAGAUCUUUCUUAUUAACAUAUAAUUCACACACUACAAUGGUC